ACUCUCUUAGUAUAUUAAAUAUGACUGACUUCCAAUCAGUAGAUUCCGAAUAAACGGAAGAGAGUA
RNAcentral lists this transfer RNA (66 nucleotides) under Praomys daltoni complex sp. clade C1. Its description in RNAcentral is "tRNA-Gly". Lineage: Eukaryota; Metazoa; Chordata; Mammalia; Rodentia; Muridae. The record is from RNAcentral.